RNAcentral lists this ribosomal RNA (513 nucleotides) under uncultured bacterium. RNAcentral describes it as "partial 16S ribosomal RNA". It matches the Rfam family "Bacterial small subunit ribosomal RNA", at positions 28 to 523 of the family's 1533-position model. The record is from RNAcentral.
GACGAACGCUGGCGGCAUGCCUAAUACAUGCAAGUCGAGCGAACAGAUGGAGUGCUUGCACUUCUGACGUUAGCGGCGAACGGGUGAGUAACACGUAAGGAAUCUACCUAUAAGCGGGGGAUAACAUUCGGAAACGGGAGCUAAUACCGCAUAAUAUCUUCUUCCGCAUGGAAGCAGAUUGAAAGACGGCCCUGCUGUCACUUAUAGAUGACCUUGCGGUGCAUUAGUUAGUUGGUGGGGUAACGGCCUACCAAGACGAUGACGCAUAGCCGACCUGAGAGGGUGAUCGGCCACAUUGGGACUGAGACACGGCCCAAACUCCUACGGGAGGCAGCAGUAGGGAAUCUUCCGCAAUGGGCGAAAGCCUGACGGAGCAAUGCCGCGUGAGUGAAGAAGGCCUUCGGGUCGUAAAACUCUGUUAUAAGAGAAGAACAAAUUGUAGAGUAACUGCUACAGUCUUGACGGUAUCUUACCAGAAAGCCACGGCUAACUACGUGCCAGCCGCCGCGGUAA